RNAcentral lists this ribosomal RNA (468 nucleotides) under uncultured bacterium. RNAcentral describes it as "partial 16S ribosomal RNA". It matches the Rfam family "Bacterial small subunit ribosomal RNA", at positions 28 to 507 of the family's 1533-position model. The record is from RNAcentral.
GACGAACGCUGGCGGCGUGCUUAACACAUGCAAGUCGAACGGAAAGGCCCUGCUUUUGUGGGGUGCUCGAGUGGCGAACGGGUGAGUAACACGUGAGUAACCUGCCCUUGACUUUGGGAUAACUUCAGGAAACUGGGGCUAAUACCGGAUAGGAGCUCCUGCUGCAUGGUGGGGGUUGGAAAGUUUCGGCGGUUGGGGAUGGACUCGCGGCUUAUCAGCUUGUUGGUGGGGUAGUGGCUUACCAAGGCUUUGACGGGUAGCCGGCCUGAGAGGGUGACCGGCCACAUUGGGACUGAGAUACGGCCCAGACUCCUACGGGAGGCAGCAGUGGGGAAUAUUGCACAAUGGGCGGAAGCCUGAUGCAGCAACGCCGCGUGCGGGAUGACGGCCUUCGGGUUGUAAACCGCUUUCGCCUGCGACGAAGCGUGAGUGACGAUAAUGGGUAAAGAAGCACCGGCUAACUACGUG